RNAcentral lists this unclassified non-coding RNA (333 nucleotides) under soil metagenome. Its description in RNAcentral is "partial contains 5.8S ribosomal RNA, internal transcribed spacer 2, and large subunit ribosomal RNA". The stretch from base 1 to 120 matches the Rfam family "5.8S ribosomal RNA", at positions 35 to 154 of the family's 154-position model. The record is from RNAcentral.
GAUGAAGAACGGAGCGAAAUGCGAUACGUAAUGUGAAUUGCAGAAUUCAGUGAAUCAUCGAAUCUUUGAACGCACAUUGCGCCCGCCAGCACUCUGGCGGGCAUGCCUGUUCGAGCGUCAUUUCAACCAUCAAGCCCCAGGCUUGCGUUGGAGCCCUGCGGCUGCCGCAGCCUCCUAAAAGCAGUGGCGGGCUCGCUAUCACACCGAGUGCAGUAGAUUACUCUUCGCUCAGGGCGUGCAGCGGGUUCCGGCCGUGAAACCCCCUACUUUUAAAGGUUGACCUCGGAUCAGCUAGGAAUACCCGCUGAACUUAAGCAUAUCAUAAGCGGAGGA